GAGUUGUUCCAAUAAAACACACUGUUCCUCAGCCAUUUGCUCUAGCAACUGAAAAGCGUGCUUCAUCUGGAACUCGUCCUACUGGAUCUGACCUUGAUGCCCCUUUUGGUGUGAAUAAAUCAUCUAAUGCAAACAAUGUGCUACAUCCAAACGCUACAAAGCAGAAUCAGCCACUUGGAGUAUCAAGAAAGCCAUUGCAGCCAAAUAACAAGAAGCAUCCUGAUGAGGAGGAUACUUGUUCGGUCAUUUCUAUUACUGCAGCAUCUGCUCUGACUAAUAAGUCCAGGACAACUGUUGCAUCGGCUCCAGUAUUUAGAUGCUCUGAACGAGCUGAGAGACGGAAGGCGUUUUAUUCAAAAUUAGAGGAGAAGCACCAAGCAUUGGAGGCUGAGAAAACCCAAAGUGAAGCAAGGACAAAGGAAGAGAGGGAGGCAGCUAUUAAGCAACUGAGGAAAAGCUUGUUGUUUAAGGCUAACCCGAUGCCAAGUUUCUACCAUGAGGGACCACCAC
Molecule: unclassified non-coding RNA, 510 nt
Filed under: Hevea brasiliensis (rubber tree)
Lineage: Eukaryota; Viridiplantae; Streptophyta; Magnoliopsida; Malpighiales; Euphorbiaceae
Source: RNAcentral